GAUGAACGCUGGCGGCGUGCCUAAUACAUGCAAGUCGAGCGAACAGACGAGGAGCUUGCUCCUCUGACGUUAGCGGCGGACGUGUGAGUAACACGUGGAUAACCUACCUAUAAGACUGGGAUAACUUCGGGAAACCGGAGCUAAUACCGGAUAACAUGUUGAACCGCAUGGUUUAACAGUGAAAGACGGUCUUGCUGUCACUUAUAGAUGGAUCCGCGCCGCAUUAGCUAGUUGGUAAGGUAACGGCUUACCAAGGCAACGAUGCGUAGCCGACCUGAGAGGGUGAUCGGCCACACUGGAACUGAGACACGGUCCAGACUCCUACGGGAGGCAGCAGUAGGGAAUCUUUCGCAAUGGGCGAAAGCCUGACGGAGCAACGCCGCGUGAGUGAAGAAGGUCUUCGGAUCGUAAAACUCUGUUAUUAGGGAAGAACAAAUGUGUAAGUAACUAUGCACGUCUUGACGGUACCUAAUCAGAAAGCCACGGCUAACUACGUG
This 497-nucleotide ribosomal RNA is filed under the name uncultured bacterium. RNAcentral's name for it is "partial 16S ribosomal RNA". It matches the Rfam family "Bacterial small subunit ribosomal RNA", at positions 28 to 507 of the family's 1533-position model. The record is from RNAcentral.